CAGCCGCGCGGGAAUACGUAGGGUGCGAGCGUUAAUCGGAAUUACUGGGCGUAAAGCGUGCGCAGGCGGUUCGUUAAGACAGAUGUGAAAUCCCCGGGCUUAACCUGGGAACUGCAUUUGUGACUGGCGAGCUAGAGUAUGGCAGAGGGGGGUAGAAUUCCACGUGUAGCAGUGAAAUGCGUAGAGAUGUGGAGGAAUACCGAUGGCGAAGGCAGCCCCCUGGGCCGAUACUGACGCUCAUGCACGAAAGCGUGGGGAGCAAACAGGAUUAGAUACCCCCGUAGUCCCUGUCUCUUAUACC
This 301-nucleotide ribosomal RNA is filed under the name uncultured bacterium. RNAcentral's name for it is "partial 16S ribosomal RNA". It matches the Rfam family "Bacterial small subunit ribosomal RNA", at positions 509 to 808 of the family's 1533-position model. The record is from RNAcentral.